This 85-nucleotide transfer RNA is filed under the name Lentinula boryana. RNAcentral's name for it is "tRNA-Arg". It matches the Rfam family "tRNA". Rfam says of the family: Transfer RNA (tRNA) molecules are approximately 80 nucleotides in length. Their secondary structure includes four short double-helical elements and three loops (D, anti-codon, and T loops). The record is from RNAcentral. Lineage: Eukaryota; Fungi; Basidiomycota; Agaricomycetes; Agaricales; Omphalotaceae.
GGCCGCCUGGCGAAAUGGCAUCGCGUCUGACUACGAUGAAGUAUCGAUAAUCAGGAGAUUGCAGGUUCGACCCCUGCGGUGGUCA